AGGAAAGUUAUUAAUUCUAGGAAGCGAUUGCGUGCUCAUGUAGGACUUGAUGAAGGAGAGGUGAGUACAUGAAAAUAUGUCCAGAGAAAUUUCUCUUUAUUUACCUUCCUUUUCUAUUUUGAGAUAUAUUCUUCAGUUUCUUUUUAACAUAUAUUCUUCAGUUUAUUUGUACAUUGAUGCCCCAGAUCUGGUGAGCUUGUUUCUUUUUGAGAUAUAUUCUUCAGUUUACUUGUACUAUUUAUAUACCUAGAUUCACUGGAUUAUCAUGUGAAACUGAUGUUUCAGUAAUUUGAGAUUUGUUAUUUAUAUUUGACUGCUUCAUUGUUCUCUGAAACUGCAGGUAUGUCCCAAGUGAACUGGAUUAUUAUGAUGAUUUCGUCGAUUCAUACUCCUUUUUAUCCUGAAAUAAAUGGCUUUCACCUUUGGGCAGUUCAAGUGAUGGAAGAUAUUGUUUCAAUGAUAUUGAAGCUUUUUAGAUACUAUGGCAGUUAAGGUUCAUUUGAAGUCGCGGAUGGAUGCAUGAUUUAUGCAGAAAUGUAUAAGUGCCAUGUAGUGGUUAAUUAGAGGUAUACAUUAGUGCAUACAAUUCUUUUAUUCUCUGCUUCAUGAUCUGGACAAAGAGAUACAUUAUUAGCUUAAUUGGAGUAUUGUUGGUUAGUGCAGUAUCUAUAGACUGUUAAUAUUGUUAUUUUUGUUAUUCUAUGCAUGUGAACACUGCCGAAAAGGGUGUCUUCGGAGAUUUUCUUUCUUCCAAUAUUUCCAAUUAAAAGGCUAAAAUUAACAAUUCAUUUGUAAUUUCAAUAUUCUGUGAGCCCUGCUGUAUAUACUGUCAGGCUACACAUGUAUCUCUUACUAUGUCAAGCAUUAUCAGUUUAUGCACAGAUUUAUCUAGCUUUGCUGUCAUUUUUGUAGUGGAUGUGUAGGUUUAUCACAGUACCCAUUUUACCAUUUAUGGUGUUUGACUGUAUCCCGUUCGCCACCGGGCUUAUCUAGAAGCGUACACUUCUUGCUAGCUCCCCACUAGGUUUCUAGGGUAAAAUCCAUGGAUGAAAAUAGACGAUCACGAUAGAAGGCAGGGCACAUCUGACAGCCCAAACUCCCCACAGUAGUCCUGCUGCUUGCAUUGUGCUUGGGUUCAAAAUUUUCUCCUGGAAGUUUUCGUGCAGCUAUAGAAUUAUUUAGAGUAUAGUUCCCGGACCUUAUUCAUGUGUUCUUUUUGUAGGUGUAUGGAAGUACAAGUACGCUGUGGCUAAUUUGUUCCCUUUUUUAUUGUUGUUACCGUGUCCUAUCUCAGGUGUUCUUCGACUAAAAUCAGGCUGCUCCUGCCAUGUCUACCAGUGAAAUGCCUCCUUCCAUGAUAAAGCAGCCUACUCUUAG
Molecule: long non-coding RNA, 1377 nt
Filed under: Triticum aestivum (bread wheat)
Lineage: Eukaryota; Viridiplantae; Streptophyta; Magnoliopsida; Poales; Poaceae
Description: long non-coding RNA (TAES_LNC019810)
Source: RNAcentral